Molecule: ribosomal RNA, 336 nt
Filed under: Triticum aestivum (bread wheat)
Lineage: Eukaryota; Viridiplantae; Streptophyta; Magnoliopsida; Poales; Poaceae
Description: partial small subunit ribosomal RNA
Source: RNAcentral
AUGGAUCAGCCUCUCGUCAACCAUGUCAUCAAGAAACAGCGGGACAUGUAUGCCAACUACUACCUGGUCGUAUCAUCCGAUGACCAAAAGCUACUGAUGGUGCGGUGGAGGAGGAGCCGUACUGAUGUCUUCGUGUUGAAUCUGUGUGUGUUUGAGGCAGAUUUUGACAAGGGUCAUUGGUUGGAGGUGAGGGACUUGGGAGAACAGGUCCUCUUCGUCGGCAGGAAUUGCUCCAGGGCAUUUGCUGCAGGCCGAGCCUCGUCGGAGCACCAUGAUCAGAUAUUCCAAGGAGGUAACCGUGUGUUUAUUCUAGGCACCGAGUGGAAGCGGGCAUGA